Molecule: transfer RNA, 103 nt
Filed under: Aggregatibacter aphrophilus NJ8700
Lineage: Bacteria; Pseudomonadati; Pseudomonadota; Gammaproteobacteria; Pasteurellales; Pasteurellaceae
Description: tRNA-Und (NNN) (tRNA-Und-NNN-2-1)
Rfam family: transfer-messenger RNA
About the family: Bacterial tmRNA, also known as 10Sa RNA or SsrA, is named for its dual tRNA and mRNA-like properties. Its role is to liberate the mRNA from a stalled ribosome.
Source: RNAcentral
GUGUCUGUCCGCAGGGUUAAGCGAAUCUUAAAGACUGACUAAACGUGUAGUGCUGAAGGUAGAGGAAUUUCGGACGGGGGUUCAACUCCCCCCAGCUCCACCA